UACGUAGGGGGCAAGCGUUGUCCGGAUUUAUUGGGCGUAAAGAGCGUGUAGGCGGCCAGACAGGUCCGUUGUGAAAACUCGAGGCUCAACCUCGAGACGCCGAUGGAAACCGUCUGGCUAGAGUCCGGAAGAGGAGAGUGGAAUUCCUGGUGUAGCGGUGAAAUGCGCAGAUAUCAGGAAGAACACCCGUGGCUAAGGCGGCUCUCUAGUACGGUACUGACGCUGAGACGCGAAAAGCUGGGGGAGCGAACAGG
Molecule: ribosomal RNA, 254 nt
Filed under: uncultured bacterium
Lineage: Bacteria
Description: partial 16S ribosomal RNA
Rfam family: Bacterial small subunit ribosomal RNA
Source: RNAcentral